GACGAACGCUGGCGGCGUGCUUAACACAUGCAAGUCGAACGCUGAAGCUUGGUGCUUGCACUGGGUGGAUGAGUGGCGAACGGGUGAGUAAUACGUGAGUAACCUGCCCUUGACUCUGGGAUAAGCCUGGGAAACUGGGUCUAAUACUGGAUACGACAUGCCACUGCAUGGUGGUGUGUGGAAAGGGUUUUACUGGUUUUGGAUGGGCUCACGGCCUAUCAGCUUGUUGGUGGGGUAAUGGCCUACCAAGGCGACGACGGGUAGCCGGCCUGAGAGGGUGACCGGCCACACUGGGACUGAGACACGGCCCAGACUCCUACGGGAGGCAGCAGUGGGGAAUAGUGCACAAUGGGCGGAAGCCUGAUGCAGCGACGCCGCGUGAGGGAUGACGGCCUUCGGGUUGUAAACCUCUUUCAGCACGGAAGAAGCGAGAGUGACGGUACGUGCAGAAGAAGCGCCGGCUAACUACGUG
Molecule: ribosomal RNA, 472 nt
Filed under: uncultured bacterium
Lineage: Bacteria
Description: partial 16S ribosomal RNA
Rfam family: Bacterial small subunit ribosomal RNA
Source: RNAcentral